This is a regulatory RNA element of Brenneria goodwinii, 119 nucleotides long. It matches the Rfam family "Ribosomal S15 leader". Rfam says of the family: The E. coli Ribosomal S15 gene 5' UTR can form two alternative structures. One that is a series of three hairpins, The other includes a pseudoknot. The record is from Rfam. Lineage: Bacteria; Pseudomonadati; Pseudomonadota; Gammaproteobacteria; Enterobacterales; Pectobacteriaceae.
UUGGGUGGCUGAAUUAGAGAUCGGCGCCUGUUUUUUUAUCUAUAAUGUUUUGGAGUAUUACUAUGUCUCUAAGUGUUGAAGCGAAAGCUAAAAUCGUUGCGGAAUUCGGUCGUGGCGCU